GAAAGCGUGACGGGGUCAUCCCGAGUGCCAUCCGCUGAGGGUGGCUUUUGCCUGGUGUAAUCAGCCAAGUGAAUAAGGGGAGGGCAAGUCUGGUGUCAGCCGCCGCGGUAAUACCAGCUCCUCGAGUGGUUGGGACGAUUAUUGGGUCUAAAGCGUCCGUAGCCGGCCGGAAAAGUUCCCCGUUAAAUCCGACGGUUCAAUCGUCGGGCUGCGGAGAAUACUCUUCGGCUUGGGGGCGGGGGAGGUCGGCGGUAGUCCCGGGGUAGGGGCGAAAUCUUAUAAUCCCGGGAGGACCACCAGUGGCGAAGGCGGCCGACUAAAACGCGCCCGACGGUGAGGGACGAAAGCUGGGGGAGCGAACGGGAUUAGAUACCCCGGUAGUCCCAGCUGUAAACGAUGCAGGCUAGGUGUCGGGAUGGCUACGGGCCACCUCGGUGCCGCAGGGAAGCCAUUAAGCCUGCCACCUGGGAAGUACGGUCGCAAGGCUGAAACUUAAAGGAAUUGGCGGGGGAGCACCACAAGGGGUGAAGCUUGCGGUUUAAUUGGAGUCAACACCGGGAAUCUUACCAGGAGCGACAGCUGUAUGAAGGU
This 591-nucleotide ribosomal RNA is filed under the name uncultured archaeon. Its description in RNAcentral is "bacterial SSU rRNA". It matches the Rfam family "Archaeal small subunit ribosomal RNA", at positions 361 to 954 of the family's 1478-position model. The record is from RNAcentral.